This 451-nucleotide ribosomal RNA is filed under the name uncultured organism. Its description in RNAcentral is "partial 16S ribosomal RNA". It matches the Rfam family "Bacterial small subunit ribosomal RNA", at positions 332 to 797 of the family's 1533-position model. The record is from RNAcentral.
UACACUCCUACGGGAGGCAGCAGUGGGGAAUUUUACGCAAUGGGGGAAACCCUGACGUAGCGACACCGCGUGAGCGAAGAAGCCCUUUGGGGUGUAAAGCUCUGUCAGCUGGAACGAAAACAAUGACGGUACCAGCAGAGGAAGCAUCGGCUAACUACGUGCCAGCAGCCGCGGUAAGACGUAGGAUGCGAGCGUUGUCCGGAUUUAUUGGGCGUAAAGAGUUCGUAGGUGGUUUGUUAAGUUUGGUGUUAAAGAUCGGGGCUCAACCCUGGGACUGCACUGAAUACUGGCAGACUCGAGUGUGGUAGAGGCUAGUGGAAUUCCCAGUGUAGCGGUGAAAUGCGUAGAUAUUGGGAAGAACACCGGUGGCGUAGGCGACUAGCUGGGCCAUAACUGACGCUGAGGAACGAAAGCCAGGGGAGCGAAUGGGAUUAGAUACCCGUGUAGUCCC